Molecule: ribosomal RNA, 158 nt
Filed under: Pseudoechria curvicolla
Lineage: Eukaryota; Fungi; Ascomycota; Sordariomycetes; Sordariales; Schizotheciaceae
Also listed under: 4 other names
Description: Podospora curvicolla 5.8S ribosomal RNA
Rfam family: 5.8S ribosomal RNA
About the family: 5.8S ribosomal RNA (5.8S rRNA) is a component of the large subunit of the eukaryotic ribosome. It is transcribed by RNA polymerase I as part of the 45S precursor that also contains 18S and 28S rRNA.
Source: RNAcentral
AAACUUUCAACAACGGAUCUCUUGGUUCUGGCAUCGAUGAAGAACGCAGCGAAAUGCGAUACGUAAUGUGAAUUGCAGAAUUCAGUGAAUCAUCGAAUCUUUGAACGCACAUUGCGCCCGCCAGUAUUCUGGCGGGCAUGCCUGUCCGAGCGUCAUUU